UCAAAGGUAUUUUUGGUAUUAUAUGGCCAGUGAUCUUGGAUUAUCAUAGCAUACCAAAUAAAUUACUGGUGCAUACAUGGGGAUCUUUAAUUACUGUACUAUGGCCAAUGAAAUAUAGUGAUCUUAGAUCACUAGAGAUUAGAUCAUUCCAAGAUUUCGAUCAUCAGUGAUCUUAGAUUACCGUGAUAAUCUCAGUUGGGUCAUCAAAUACUGCCUC
RNAcentral lists this long non-coding RNA (217 nucleotides) under Elaeis guineensis (African oil palm). RNAcentral describes it as "long non-coding RNA (EGUI_LNC005646)". Lineage: Eukaryota; Viridiplantae; Streptophyta; Magnoliopsida; Arecales; Arecaceae. The record is from RNAcentral.